GCGGAUGGCUGGAGCGCAGCCUGAUCCAGCCAUGCCGCGUGUGUGAAGAAGGCCUUCGGGUUGUAAAGCACUUUAAGCGGGGAGGAAGGGCUGAGGGUUAAUAACCUUCAGCAUUGACGUUACCCGCAGAAUAAGCACCGGCUAACUCUGUGCCAGCAGCCGCGGUAAUACAGAGGGUGCAAGCGUUAAUCGGAAUUACUGGGCGUAAAGCGCGCGUAGGUGGUUAUGUAAGUUGGAUGUGAAAGCCCCGGGCUUAACCUGGGAAUGGCAUUCAAAACUGCAGGGCUAGAGUACGGGAGAGGGGGGUAGAAUUCCAGGUGUAGCGGUGAAAUGCGUAGAGAUCUGGAGGAAUACCGAUGGCGAAGGCAGCCCCCUGGCCUGAUACUGACACUGAGGUGCGAAAGCAUGGGGAGCAAACAGGAUUAGAUACCCUGGUAGUCCAUGCCGUAAACGAUGUCGACUAGGUGUUGGGGAACUUGAUUCCUUAGUGCCGCAGCUAACGCAUUAAGUCGACCGCCUGGGGAGUACGGCCGCAAGGUUAAAACUCAAAAAAUUUGACCGGGAA
This 565-nucleotide ribosomal RNA is filed under the name uncultured bacterium. RNAcentral's name for it is "bacterial SSU rRNA". It matches the Rfam family "Bacterial small subunit ribosomal RNA", at positions 375 to 920 of the family's 1533-position model. The record is from RNAcentral.